GCUGGGCAUAGUGGUGCAUGCCUGUAAUCCAAGGGGCUUGGGAGGCUGUGGAAGGAGGAUCAAGAGGUCAAUGCCAGCCUCAGCAAUUUAGCAAGGCUCUGAGAAACUUAGUGAGACCCUGUCUCUA
This 127-nucleotide small RNA is filed under the name Marmota monax (woodchuck). Lineage: Eukaryota; Metazoa; Chordata; Mammalia; Rodentia; Sciuridae. The record is from RNAcentral.